GGCGAGAUGGCCGAGCGGUCCAAGGCGCCAGACCAAGGCGAGUUACGCAUUCUUCCAGAAUUGUAACGGUCAAUUAUCUGGUCCGAAAGGGCGUGGGUUCGAAUCCCACUCUCGUCA
Non-coding RNA from Trametes meyenii, 117 nucleotides. The record is from the annotation of a GenBank genome assembly. Lineage: Eukaryota; Fungi; Basidiomycota; Agaricomycetes; Polyporales; Polyporaceae.